CUGGCUCAGGAUGAACGCUGGCGGCGUGCUUAACACAUGCAAGUCGAGCGAAGCACUUUUAAGGAAGUUUUCGGAUGGAAUUAAAAGUGACUGAGCGGCGGACGGGUGAGUAACGCGUGGGUAACCUGCCUCAUACAGGGGGAUAACAGUUGGAAACGACUGCUAAUACCGCAUAAGCGCACAGUGCUGCAUGGCACAGUGUGAAAAACUCCGGUGGUAUGAGAUGGACCCGCGUCUGAUUAGGUAGUUGGUGAGGUAACGGCCCACCAAGCCGACGAUCAGUAGCCGACCUGAGAGGGUGACCGGCCACAUUGGGACUGAGACACGGCCCAAACUCUUACGGGAGGCAGCAAUGGGGAAUAUUGGACAAUGGGGGAAACCCUGAUCCAGUGACGCCGCGUGAGUGAAGAAGUAUUUCGGUAUGUAAAGCUUUAUCAGCAGGGAAGAAAAUGACGGUACCUGACUAAGAAGCCCCGGCUAAUUACGUGCCAGCAGCCGCGGUAAUACGUAGGGGGCAAGCGUUUUCCGGAUUUAUUGGGUGUAAAGGGAGCGUAGACGGCGAUUCAAGUCUGGAGUGAAAGCCCGGGGCUCAACCCCGGGACUGCUUUGGAAACUGUGUUGCUGGAGUGCAGGAGAGGUAAGUGGAAUUCCUAGUGUAGCGGUGAAAUGCGUAGAUAUUAGGAGGAACACCAGUGGCGAAGGCGGCUUACUGGACUGUAACUGACGUUGAGGCUCGAAAGCGUGGGGAGCAACCAGGAUUAGAUACCCUGGUAGUCCACCCCGUAAACGAUGAAUACUAGGUGUGGGGGAGCUAAAGCUCUUCGGUGCCGCAGCUAACGCAAUAAGUAUUCCCCCUGGGAGUCUUAAGCC
RNAcentral lists this ribosomal RNA (870 nucleotides) under uncultured Clostridium sp. Its description in RNAcentral is "bacterial SSU rRNA". It matches the Rfam family "Bacterial small subunit ribosomal RNA", at positions 19 to 894 of the family's 1533-position model. The record is from RNAcentral. Lineage: Bacteria; Bacillati; Bacillota; Clostridia; Eubacteriales; Clostridiaceae.